RNAcentral lists this ribosomal RNA (1021 nucleotides) under Mesorhizobium sp. RNAcentral's name for it is "partial 23S ribosomal RNA". It matches the Rfam family "Bacterial large subunit ribosomal RNA", at positions 1928 to 2925 of the family's 2925-position model. Lineage: Bacteria; Pseudomonadati; Pseudomonadota; Alphaproteobacteria; Hyphomicrobiales; Phyllobacteriaceae. The record is from RNAcentral.
CGGCGGCCGUAACUAUAACGGUCCUAAGGUAGCGAAAUUCCUUGUCGGGUAAGUUCCGACCUGCACGAAUGGCGUAAUGAUGGCCAGGCUGUCUCCACCCGAGACUCAGUGAAAUUGAACUCGCUGUGAAGAUGCAGUGUACCCGCGGCAAGACGGAAAGACCCCGUGAACCUUUACUAUAGCUUGACACUGAACACUGGUCCUUGAUGUGUAGGAUAGGUGGGAGGCUUUGAAGCGUGGACGCCAGUCUGCGUGGAGCCAACCUUGAAAUACCACCCUUUAAUGGCUGGUGUUCUAACGUAGACCCGUUAUCCGGGUUGCGGACAGUGUCUGGUGGGUAGUUUGACUGGGGCGGUCUCCUCCCAAAGAGUAACGGAGGAGCACGAAGGUUAGCUAAUCCUGGUCGGACAUCAGGAGGUUAGUGCAAUGGCAUAAGCUAGCUUGACUGCGAGAGUGACGGCUCGAGCAGGUGCGAAAGCAGGUCAUAGUGAUCCGGUGGUUCUGAAUGGAAGGGCCAUCGCUCAACGGAUAAAAGGUACUCCGGGGAUAACAGGCUGAUACCGCCCAAGAGUUCAUAUCGACGGCGGUGUUUGGCACCUCGAUGUCGGCUCAUCACAUCCUGGGGCUGAAGUAGGUCCCAAGGGUAUGGCUGUUCGCCAUUUAAAGUGGUACGCGAGCUGGGUUUAGAACGUCGUGAGACAGUUCGGUCCCUAUCUGCCGUGGGCGCUGGAGAAUUGAGGGGGGCUGCUCCUAGUACGAGAGGACCGGAGUGGACGCAUCACUGGUGUUCGGGUUGUCAUGCCAAUGGCAUUGCCCGGUAGCUAAAUGCGGAAGAGAUAAGUGCUGAAAGCAUCUAAGCACGAAACUUGCCCCGAGAUGAGUUCUCCCUGACCCUUUAAGGGUCCUGAAGGAACGUUGAAGACUACGACGUUGAUAGGUCGGGUGUGUAAGCGCAGCGAUGCGUUGAGCUAACCGAUACUAAUGAACCGUGAGGCUUAACCUUACAACGCCAGAGGCGUUU